This 505-nucleotide ribosomal RNA is filed under the name uncultured bacterium. Its description in RNAcentral is "partial 16S ribosomal RNA". It matches the Rfam family "Bacterial small subunit ribosomal RNA", at positions 28 to 507 of the family's 1533-position model. The record is from RNAcentral.
GACGAACGCUGGCGGCGUGCCUAAUACAUGCAAGUAGAACGCACAGUUUAUACCGUAGCUUGCUACACCAUACACUGUGAGUUGCGAACGGGUGAGUAACGCGUAGGUAACCUGCCUGGUAGCGGGGGAUAACUAUUGGAAACGCUAGCUAAUACCGCAUAAUAUUGAUUAUUGCAUGAUAAUUGAUUGAAAGAUGCUAUUGCAUCACUACCAGCUGGACCUGCGUUGUAUUAGCUAGUAGGUGAGGUAACGGCUCACCUAGGCGACGAUACAUAGCCGACCUGGGAGGGUGAUCGGCCACACUGGGACUGAGACACGGCCCAGACUCCUACGGGAGGCAGCCGUAGGGAAUCUUCGGCAAUGGACGAAAGUCUGACCGAGCAACGCCGCGGGAGGGAAGAAGGUUUUCGGAUCGUAAAGCUCUGUUGUAAGAGAAGAACGGGUGUGAGAGUGGAAAGUUCACACUGUGACGGUAUCUUACCAGAAAGGGACGGCUAACUACGUG